GGGGAUGUAGCUCAGUGGUAAAGUGUGUGCUUAGCAUGUGCAAAACCCUGGGUUUGAUUCCCAGUACCA
This 69-nucleotide transfer RNA is filed under the name Ictidomys tridecemlineatus (thirteen-lined ground squirrel). RNAcentral's name for it is "Spermophilus tridecemlineatus (thirteen-lined ground squirrel) tRNA". It matches the Rfam family "tRNA". From Rfam's summary of the family: Transfer RNA (tRNA) molecules are approximately 80 nucleotides in length. Their secondary structure includes four short double-helical elements and three loops (D, anti-codon, and T loops). Lineage: Eukaryota; Metazoa; Chordata; Mammalia; Rodentia; Sciuridae. The record is from Rfam by way of RNAcentral. RNAcentral also lists the same sequence under 1 other name.